GACGAACGCUGGCGGCGUGCUUAACACAUGCAAGUCGAACGGAAAGGCCCUGCUUGCAGGGUUCUCGCGUGGCGAACGGGUGAGUAACACGUGGGUGAUCUGCCCUGCACUUCGGGUUAAGCCUGGGAAACUGGGUCUAAUACCGGACAGGAGCCAUAUUUAGUGUGAUGGUUGGAAAGUUUUUUCGGUGUAGGAUGAGCUCGCGGCCUAUCUGCUUGUUGGGGGGGUAAUGGCCUACCAAGGCGGCGGCGGGUAGCCGGCCUGAGAGGGUGGCCGGCCACAGUGGGACUGAGAGACGGCCCAGACACGGACGGGAGGCAGCAGCGCGGAAUAUUGCACAAUGAGAGCAAGCCUGAUGCAGAGACGCCGCGGGGGGGAUGACGGCCUUCGGAUUGUAAACUCCUUUCGCAAGGGACGAAGCUUUUUGUGACGGUACCUAGAUAAGAAGCACCGGCUAACUACGUG
Molecule: ribosomal RNA, 465 nt
Filed under: uncultured bacterium
Lineage: Bacteria
Description: partial 16S ribosomal RNA
Rfam family: Bacterial small subunit ribosomal RNA
Source: RNAcentral